CAUAAUUUGGCAUCUGAAGCUCAUCUAUUGACGUUAGCUUCCAUUUUUGCUGGUCGCUCGGUGUCGGCACUGACGGCUUGACCAGCUUCUUCCACUGUAUUUCCACCUUCAUGCUUGGAUUGCCUCUCAAGAUAUGUGUAGAAACGAGGAUGAUGAAUAUGGUAUUGCACGAGUUCUCCAGUGGUUUUAUAGAGCGCUCCAACCCUUGCCUCUCUUUACACGGGUAAUAAAACCUCGUAAAAAUAUCUCGGAAACGAGAGUCACGCUUCCCC
Molecule: long non-coding RNA, 272 nt
Filed under: Eucalyptus grandis
Lineage: Eukaryota; Viridiplantae; Streptophyta; Magnoliopsida; Myrtales; Myrtaceae
Description: long non-coding RNA (EGRA_LNC004017)
Source: RNAcentral